GUCGAGCGGGAUCUUCGGAUCUAGCGGCGGACGGGUUAGUAACGCGUGGGAACGUACCCAGAUCUACGGAAUAGCCUCGGGAAACUGAGAGUAAUACCGUAUACGCCCUUCGGGGGAAAGAUUUAUCGGAUUUGGAUCGGCCCGCGUAAGAUUAGAUAGUUGGUGGGGUAAUGGCCUACCAAGUCUACGAUCUUUAGCUGGUUUGAGAGGAUGAUCGGCAACACUGGGACUGAGACACGGCCCAGACUCCUACGGGAGGCAGCAGUGGGGAAUCUUAGACAAUGGGCGCAAGCCUGAUCUAGCGAUGCCGCGUGAGUGAUGAAGGCCUUAGGGUCGUAAAGCUCUUUCGCCUGUGAAGAUAAUGACGGUAGCAGGUAAAGAAACCCCGGCUAACUCCGUGCCAGCAGCCGCGGUAAUACGGAGGGGGUUAGCGUUGUUCGGAAUUACUGGGCGUAAAGCGCACGUAGGCGGACUAGUCAGUCAGAGGUGAAAUCCCAGGGCUCAACCCUGGAACUGCCUUUGAUACUGCUAGUCUUGAGUUCGAGAGAGGUAAGUGGAAUUCCGAGUGUAGAGGUGAAAUUCGUAGAUAUUCGGAGGAACACCAGUGGCGAAGGCGGCUUACUGGCUCGAUACUGACGCUGAGGUGCGAAAGUGUGGGGAGCAAACAGGAUUAGAUACCCUGGUAGUCCACACCGUAAACGAUGAAUGCCAGACGUCGGGUAGCAUGCUAUUCGGUGUCACACCUAACGGAUUAAGCAUUCCGCCUGGGGAGUACGGUCGCAAGAUUAAAACUCAAAGGAA
This 801-nucleotide ribosomal RNA is filed under the name uncultured bacterium. Its description in RNAcentral is "bacterial SSU rRNA". It matches the Rfam family "Bacterial small subunit ribosomal RNA", at positions 61 to 909 of the family's 1533-position model. The record is from RNAcentral.